RNAcentral lists this ribosomal RNA (862 nucleotides) under Anelosimus guacamayos. RNAcentral describes it as "partial 16S ribosomal RNA". Lineage: Eukaryota; Metazoa; Arthropoda; Arachnida; Araneae; Theridiidae. The record is from RNAcentral.
AAUCAUUCGUUUUUUAAUUAAAAACUAGAAUGAAAGGUUAUACAUUCAAAUUUCUUUAUUAAUUUCUAAUUAAUAAUUUAUAUUAAAUAUAAAAAUAUACUUAUAAAAAAAAAAGACGACAAGACCCUAUUAAAUUUUACUUAUAGUUUAACUGGGGAAGUUUUUUAAUUAAAAUUUUUUAAAUUUAAUAAAUAAAAAUCUAAUAAAAUUAAAACUUUAACAAAUUACUAUAGGGAUAACAGCAUUAUAUUUUUUAAAAGUUCAUAUUAAAAAAAAUGAUUAUGACCUCGAUGUUGAAUUAUAUUUUCUAUAUUUAAUGCAAUAAUUAUAAAAGUAGAUCUGUUCGAUCUUUAAAAUAUUACAUGAUUUGAGUUCAAACCGGUGUAAACCAGGUUGGUUUCUAUCUUUUUAUAUAUUUUUCCAGUACGAAAGGACAAACAAAUUUUUAUUUUAAUAAAUUAGCAAAUAAAUGCAUUAGAUUUAGAAUCUAAAUAUAUUUAAUAAUUUUUUUUAUUAAUCCUUUAUUAUCUAUUAUAAUACUUUUAAUUUCAGUAGCAUUUUAUACAAUUUUAGAACGAAAAAUUUUAAGAUAUAUUCAAAUUCGAAAAGGACCAAAUAAAGUAGGAUUUUUAGGAAUUUUACAACCUUUUAGUGAUGCGAUUAAAUUAUUUAAUAAAAAUUUAAUUUCAUCAGAAAGAAUAAAUUUUAUAUUAUCAUAUUCAACACCAGCAUUAUCUCUAAUUUUAAGAAUAAUAAUUGUAUCUAUAUUACCAAUAUAUUUUUAUUCUUCAUUUGAUAAUAAAAAUAAUAUUUUAAUAUUUUUUGUAAUUUCAAGAUUAUCAGUAUAUUCUAUUUUAUCAAU